RNAcentral lists this ribosomal RNA (703 nucleotides) under uncultured Bacteroidales bacterium. RNAcentral's name for it is "bacterial SSU rRNA". It matches the Rfam family "Bacterial small subunit ribosomal RNA", at positions 72 to 770 of the family's 1533-position model. Lineage: Bacteria; Pseudomonadati; Bacteroidota; Bacteroidia; Bacteroidales. The record is from RNAcentral.
AAGAAAGCUUGCUUUCUUUGCUGGCGACCGGCGCACGGGUGAGUAACACGUAUCCAACCUGCCCUUUACUCGGGGAUAGCCUUUCGAAAGAAAGAUUAAUACCCGAUGGCAUAGUGAUUCCGCAUGGUUUCAUUAUUAAAGGAUUCCGGUAAAGGAUGGGGAUGCGUUCCAUUAGGUUGUUGGUGGGGUAACGGCCCACCAAGCCUUCGAUGGAUAGGGGUUCUGAGAGGAAGGUCCCCCACAUUGGAACUGAGACACGGUCCAAACUCCUACGGGAGGCAGCAGUGAGGAAUAUUGGUCAAUGGGCGCUAGCCUGAACCAGCCAAGUAGCGUGAAGGAUGAAGGCUCUAUGGGUCGUAAACUUCUUUUAUAUAAGAAUAAAGUGCAGUAUGUAUACUGUUUUGUAUGUAUUAUAUGAAUAAGGAUCGGCUAACUCCGUGCCAGCAGCCGCGGUAAUACGGAGGAUCCGAGCGUUAUCCGGAUUUAUUGGGUUUAAAGGGAGCGUAGGUGGACUGGUAAGUCAGUUGUGAAAGUUUGCGGCUCAACCGUAAAAUUGCAGUUGAUACUGUCAGUCUUGAGUACAGUAGAGGUGGGCGGAAUUCGUGGUGUAGCGGUGAAAUGCUUAGAUAUCACGAAGAACUCCGAUUGCGAAGGCAGCUCACUGGACUGCAACUGACACCGAUGCUCGAAAGUGUGGGUAUCA